CGGAGGAAAGAACCCACCAGGGAUUGCCCUAGUAACGGCGAGUGAAGCGGCAUCAGCUCAAAUUUGAAAUCUGGCUCUUUUAGGAAUCCGAGUUGUAAUUUGCAGAGGGCGCUUUGGCAUAGGCAGCGAUUCAAGUUCCUUGGAACAGGACGUCACAGAGGGUGAGAAUCCCGUACGUGGUCGCCAGCUCUUGCCGUGUAAAGCCCCUUCGACGAGUCGAGUUGUUUGGGAAUGCAGCUCUAAAUGGGAGGUAAAUUUCUUCUAAAGCUAAAUAUUGGCCAGAGACCGAUAGCGCACAAGUAGAGUGAUCGAAAGAUGAAAAGUACUUUGGAAAGAGAGUCAAAAAGCACGUGAAAUUGUUGAAAGGGAAGCGCUUGCAGCCAGACUUGCCUGUAGUUGCUCAUCCGGGCUCUUGCCCGGUGCACUCUUCUAUAGGCAGGCCAGCAUCAGUUUGGGCGGUUGGAUAAAGGUCUCUGUCAUGUACCUCUCUUCGGGGAGGCCUUAUAGGGGAGGCGACAUACAACCAGCCUGGACUGAGGUCCGCGCAUUCGUGCUAGGAUGCUGGCGUAAUGGCUGUAAGCGGCCCGUCUUGAAACACGGACCAAGGAGUCUAACAUCUAUGCGAGUGUUUGGGUGUCAAGCCCGAGCGCGUAAUGAAAGUGAACGGAGGUAGGAACCCUUUUGGGUGCACUAUCGACCGAUCCUGAUGUCUUCGGAAGGAUUUGAGUAAGAGCAUGGCUGUUGGGACCCGCAAAGAUGGUGAACUAUGCUUGAAUAGGGUGAAGCCAGAGGAAACUCUGGUGGAGGCUCGCAGCGGUUCUGACGUGCAAAUCGAUCGUCAAAUUUGGGCAUAG
RNAcentral lists this ribosomal RNA (854 nucleotides) under Comoclathris italica. RNAcentral describes it as "eukaryotic LSU rRNA". It matches the Rfam family "Eukaryotic large subunit ribosomal RNA", at positions 51 to 920 of the family's 3401-position model. Lineage: Eukaryota; Fungi; Ascomycota; Dothideomycetes; Pleosporales; Pleosporaceae. The record is from RNAcentral.